RNAcentral lists this transfer RNA (63 nucleotides) under Renocera pallida. RNAcentral's name for it is "tRNA-Arg". The record is from RNAcentral. Lineage: Eukaryota; Metazoa; Arthropoda; Insecta; Diptera; Sciomyzidae.
AAAUAAGAAGCGAUAGAUUGCAGUUAGUUUCGACCUAACCUUAGGUGUUUACAUCCUUAUUUA